UACGAGGGGGGCAAGCGUUGUUCGGAAUUAUUGGGCGUAAAGGGCGCGUAGGCGGUGCGGUAAGUCACCUGUGAAACCUCUAGGCUCAACCUAGAGCCUGCAGGCGAAACUGCCGUGCUUGAGGGUGGGAGAGGUGCGUGGAAUUCCCGGUGUAGCGGUGAAAUGCGUAGAUAUCAGGAGGAACACCGGUGGCGAAGGCGGGACUCUGGGCCGAUACUGACGCUGAGGAGCGAAAGCGUGGGGAGCGAACAGG
This 253-nucleotide ribosomal RNA is filed under the name uncultured bacterium. RNAcentral describes it as "partial 16S ribosomal RNA". It matches the Rfam family "Bacterial small subunit ribosomal RNA", at positions 524 to 776 of the family's 1533-position model. The record is from RNAcentral.